This 409-nucleotide long non-coding RNA is filed under the name Gallus gallus (chicken). Lineage: Eukaryota; Metazoa; Chordata; Aves; Galliformes; Phasianidae. The record is from RNAcentral.
GAGGAAAGACAGCACUAUGCUGGGGACAAUGGGUUUGGAAAGAAAUGUUAUGAAACAAAUGUGGACUAAAGAAUUACUCUCCCACCAGCAUGGUUCUAUGGGAACCCAUUGGAUUGAGAAUAGGCACACACCAUCUCACAGACUUGAGAGAAGUGAAUGAAAUCUAGCAAGAGAACAAGUCAUCAUCCAAGAGAAAAAUGUGUACGCAAAAAGAACGAGACAGAACAGAAUUCCUGGUGAAGAUGAAGGAAAACGCUCACACCUGUUAUGGAUGCCAUAUGCAAUCAUCUGGAGCUGCUUCCAGAUGGAUUGCUGAAGAUGAAAGAGUUAAUGAAUUAGAUCUAAGGCAUACUGGUGGCAGCAAUUUCCUUGCAACAGUGGCUAAGAUCAUCUGUCAUGAAAUUUUCUG